RNAcentral lists this long non-coding RNA (609 nucleotides) under Volvox carteri. Its description in RNAcentral is "long non-coding RNA (VCAR_LNC001183)". Lineage: Eukaryota; Viridiplantae; Chlorophyta; Chlorophyceae; Chlamydomonadales; Volvocaceae. The record is from RNAcentral.
CCCGAGCACAACAGUUGGGAGCCUGAAACUAAUAUCACAGAUGCAGCCAUUGAUGAAUAUUGGGCUCUCCAGGAAUCCCGUACUAAGCAAAAACCAGCUUCUGAACCUAAACGUAAGCGUACUCGGAAAUGAUUACCCACGCACCCCCGAGGGGUAUCCAUCUGUAAGCUCGCAGGGACUCUCGCUGCAGGUGGGGAGGAAUGUAAGAGCCUGGCUCAGGACUUAAGAUAUUUCCGAGUAAGGACUCCAAUUCCUCUUAUCAUUCCAUCGUCGAGGCGAAUAUCGUACACACAAUACAUACAACUAUUCAAGUCAUCUUUCGGUUAUAACCGUACUUAGCAGUACAUGAUUACGGCUACGGCUAUAUCGAUCCGUACACAUACUUGAUUCCGUACACCAUCUGCCCGUUCACGGCCAGACCGGUAUCGUAACUCUUCUCUGGAAGGUGCGACUCUCUUCCGCAGGAAUAUCUACUAUUGUACGGCAUCUUAUCCCGAGCGCCUCCGACGGACUGCAAGCGACUAUAAAACCCCAAGGGAAACCCCCGGUGUUUAUCAACACCUUCAUAAGUGGUCUAGUCGCUAAAUCCGUCUAAGUAACCAGGUAGGC